Long non-coding RNA from Triticum dicoccoides, 1287 nucleotides. RefSeq lists it as uncharacterized. NCBI's taxonomy places the organism in Eukaryota, Viridiplantae, Streptophyta, Magnoliopsida, Poales, Poaceae. The transcript has 2 exons. The record is from RefSeq and is a predicted model, not a curated record.
CGUUCCCUUUGUCAUUUCCCACACGCAACCGAACAGAGUCGAGAGAGAGGGAGAGAGGGAUCCAUGGCGACUUGGAGCUCUCCUAUCCGGCGGCUUAGUUCACUAGGGUGGUCGUCAGGCGUCCGACGUUCUUCCUCCAGCUGCCCCCUGGCUGUCCCCGCACGGAAGUCUGCAGCAUCUCUCGAGCACCGCACCCACCUGGCCCCCAAUUUUCCCCCGCCGGCAUUUCUGGCCUGAUCCUGUGAUUUGCUAGGUAUUUCAAUUUGGACACGCUGAAAUCAUGUUCAGUGAGUUCAAUCCCCUGGAACACGCUGGAUUCUCUAGUGUUUUAUAUACCCUGUGCCGUUUGCUGAUGUAGGUUUGUAUGUAUUGUUUCAUUGCCUAUCUAUCACUAUGAGAUUGCUAUAGAUUGUCCAUGUCCUGAUUGCCUGGUUUAAUGGGGGAUUGCUUUGGCUAUUUGUUAGUGUAAUUUUAGUGUUUUGUAAGUCAAUUUACACUGCAUUUUUUACUGUAAUUCUUUGCUGAUUUACAUUGCAUUAGUGGAUUUACUGUGUAUUUUUCAGUGGAUUUGCACUGUAAUCCUUAGUGGAAUUACAGUGUAUUUUCUUAGUGGAUUUACACUGUAAUUCUAUUUUGGAAAUACACUGUAAUUGUUACUGGAUUUUUAGUGGCUUUUACAGUGUAAUUCUCAGUGGAUUUACAAAAUGUAAUAGUUGUUUUUACAACGUAAUUUUCAGUGGAUCGGCACUGUAAUUCUUGAUUGAUCUUGUAAUUCGUUAGUGGAGUUACAGUGUAAGUCUCAGUUAAUUUACAGUGUAAUUCCUAGUGCUUUUUCGACUGUAUUUAGUUGAUUUUUACAGCGUAAUUUUUCAGUGGAUUUACACUGUAAUUUCUAGUGCAUUUUCUUAGUGGAUUCACAAAUGUAAUACUGCAUUUGCUAGUGGUUUUUACAGCGUAAUCUUCAGUGGACAGACACUGUAAUUCUUGAGUGCUCUUGUAAUGCAAUUCUUUAGUGGAUUUACAGUGUAAGUCUCACUUGAUUUACAGUGUAUUUCCUAGUGUUUUUGGACUGUAUUUAGAUGAUUUUUACAGUGUAAUUCGUCAGUGGAUUUACACUGUAAUUCUUAGUGCAUUUUGCAAUGUAUUAGUUGAUUCCAAGUGGAUUUUUACAGUGUAAAUCUCAGUGUAGUCACGCCGUAAUUCUUUUGUGGUUUUACUCUGUAAACUCUUACUGCCAUGGUACUGUAUUUACUUAUCUUAUCGGUGAUUUUUACACUGGUUCAUAUU